Molecule: ribosomal RNA, 268 nt
Filed under: Clostridioides difficile
Lineage: Bacteria; Bacillati; Bacillota; Clostridia; Peptostreptococcales; Peptostreptococcaceae
Description: partial 23S ribosomal RNA
Rfam family: Bacterial large subunit ribosomal RNA
Source: RNAcentral
GUGUGGAGCCGUAGCGUAAGGGAGUUUUAACUGAACGGUCAGUUACUUGACGUAGACCCGAAACCGGGCGACCUACCCAUGAGCAGGAUGAAGCGAAAGUAAAAUUUCGUGGAGGUCCGAACCCACGAGCGUUGAAAAGCGCGGGGAUGACUUGUGGGUAGCGGUGAAAUUCCAAUCGAGCCCGGAGAUAGCUGGUUCUCCCCGAAAUAGCUUUAGGGCUAGCCUCAAGGUGAGAGAUACGGAGGUAGAGCACUGAAUGUCCUAGGGG